Molecule: non-coding RNA, 1536 nt
Organism: Struthio camelus australis
Lineage: Eukaryota; Metazoa; Chordata; Aves; Struthioniformes; Struthionidae
Source: RefSeq, a predicted model, not a curated record
AGAAAAUAAAACGUUAGAGACAAGAAGAUACCCAAAAUGAUGAGACUUUUAAAGAACUGGUUAACACUCAGAGAGAUGCUAGUUGGGUGCUAAUUCUUAUCAGUUUGUAGAAGGCGGUGGAUGAUUUUCUAGUGCAAGGAAAUGAAUAUUUCUGGUAGCUGGGAAGUGGAGGAGUUUUGCAUCUCUUGCUGAGAGAAAUCCAGCAUUUUCCUGAGAUUACAGAGUUUCUCCACAGCUGGGUGCGAUCUGCCUUCUUCCACUGCAAAUUUUUGAGUCCUUGCUGGGGCUAAUCUGCUUGGUCACGUUAGGAGCAGAGGACAGCAGCGGUGAUGGACUUCAAAGACCUGAACAGCACCAUGAAAGGAAAGGGGACGGGGUGCUUGCCCGGGGACAGGAUGAAAGGACAAGAGAAUUACUGAGCAUCAGCCAGGGCAAAGGUUUGUGUUACUGUCUAGAGGGAGAACGAUGACAUUCUGCUGGUGAGGUCCAUAGGAAUGAAUAAUUCUUAGAAUACAAUUUAGAAUUUUCUCCCAUGCUUUCAGUUCAGAAAGUCUGGCAAAUAUUAUUCAGAACUGUUUCAAAUGUUCAUUUGCAAAUGCUGGCUGAUGCUGUAUAGAUAACUUGUCCUGUUGAACUGUUCCUAGGAGGCUGCUGAGAGGACGUGGUCCUGGCUCCUGAGAUAAUGAAGCUUUUUAGGAGGUGGCUUUGGAUUUUGGCUUGGAUUUGAAUCCAAGCCACUUUGGCUUGGAUUUCAUGUCAUUUACAGUGGACUGUUACCUACUGAGCUUUUCAGCUUCUUAAAAGAAAAACACCUUUCCUGCAAUAUUAACCCUGCAAAAGUACCAAAAAAGCAUCCAUGCUGGUGAAGUAAUGCAAAGGAAUUUAAUUAUCUGCCAAACAUUGUUGAAAGCCCUUACCCAGGUUUAAUAUUUUGUGAAGUCUGAGGGAGAACAAAUAUCACUGUGAAAACUCUGAUUUUGCUACUGAAUAGGUGGUUUGCUUUGAAGAGCUCCUACUAAUGUGGAAAGCAGCAGCGACAUACAGCAGGUGCUGUACAAACAUGGACUGUCCAUCCCCCAAACCGUUCACAAAGUCUUUUGCUUCGAAUGGGUACUGAAGUCAUUAAAGCAUACAAGCCCUUUGACAAGAGUUUCUUUAGAGGAUGUAGGACUACUUAUUUCUCAUCCAGAAAGCAAUGAAGAGCAAGGAAAGCAACACAGUGGAGGGAACUAUGUAAAGUCGCACUGGACAAACCCAGCCUGUGAGGCCACAGGAGCUCUGGGAGUGCAAUAUCAUUUCAUCACAAGCUGAGGACCAUGCUCUCGGCUGGGUUCUGGAGCUGAUUGCCAGACAGAGGAUGAUACAACCCUGAGACGCUAAUUACAACUGAGCUUUUCCAGACUUUACAGUCCCCUGUGGAUGAAAAAUGAUAAAAAAGAUUCUCCAGGGAUGCCUGCCUGGUAUUAGGAAGGUGUCCUUUCCAUAUUGCCAGUCUCCUAAUGACUUGCUCCAGUGUGAGGUGGGUUCUGAGCCACA